RNAcentral lists this ribosomal RNA (890 nucleotides) under uncultured Chloroflexota bacterium. Its description in RNAcentral is "bacterial SSU rRNA". It matches the Rfam family "Bacterial small subunit ribosomal RNA", at positions 8 to 916 of the family's 1533-position model. The record is from RNAcentral. Lineage: Bacteria; Bacillati; Chloroflexota.
AGAGUUUGAUCCUGGCUCAGGAUGAACGUGGGCGGCGUGCCUAAUACAUGCAAGUCGAACGAAGAGUGUAGUAAUACUGUCUUAGUGGCGAACGGGUGAGUAACGCGUGGGUGACCUGCCCCGAAAUGUGGGAUAACAGUCCGAAAGGAUUGCUAAUACUGCAUAAUAUCCAAGAGAUUAGAUGCUUUUGGAUUAAAGGAGUAAUUCGCUUCGGGAGGAGCCCGCGUCCCAUCAGCUAGUUGGUAAGGUAAUGGCUUACCAAGGCGAUGACGGGUAGGGGACCUGAGAGGGUGGCCCCCCACAAUGGAACUGAAACACGGUCCAUACACCUACGGGUGGCAGCAGUAGGGAAUAUUAGUAAUGGGCGAAAGCCUGAACUAGCAACGCCGCGUGUGCGAAGAAGGCCUUCGGGUCGUAAAGCACUUUUUGAGAGGAUGAGGAAGGACGGUACUCUCAGAAUAAGUCUCGGCUAACUACGUGCCAGCAGCCGCGGUAACACGUAGGAGGCAAACGUUAUCCGGAUUUACUGGGCGUAAAGCGCGUGUAGGUGGUUUGGUAAGUAGGGCGUGAAAGCUCCUGGCUCAACUGGGAGAGGACGUUCUAAACUGCCAAGCUUGAGGAUGGUAGAGGGAGGUGGAAUUCCGGGUGUAGCGGUGGAAUGCGCAGAUAUCCGGAGGAACACCAGUGGCGAAGGCGGCCUCCUGGACCACUCCUGACACUCAGACGCGAAAGCUAGGGUAGCAAACGGGAUUAGAGACCCCGGUAGUCCUAGCCCUAAACGAUGUAGACUUGGCGUCGGUGGUUUAAUCGCCAUCGGUGUCGUAGCUAACGCGAUAAGUCUACCGCCUGGGGACUACGGCCGCAAGGUUAAAACUCAAAGGAAUUGACGG